GAACUUCUGUUUUGAUGGAUGUGGCAAGCGGCUUGCUUUUCCUGAGAUCAGAUCAUCUCCUGUGGGGGAGAUCAGGCUUCUCCAGGGCCAGCUGGGAGAGCACGGCGGGGGGGGGGGGGGACGGGAGGGCUGCGCAGGCGCCUUUAGGAAGCAGCUUAGGACCUGGUUUUGAAUCCCGGCCGGGGGGGGGGGGGGGCCUCUGGGGACAUGGCCCCACUUCCUCCCUCUGCUCCAGGACUCAGCACGCACAGGCUGUUGGAAAGUUUCAGAAAAAGAGCACCAGCCCUCAGUGGGCGUAUUCCCGGGAGAAGCCCAAGGGCUGGCUCCCAAGAAAUGCCCCCGCCUCUCUCCUGGGUCUUCCUGGCAAGCCCCUCUCUGCACCCUUUGGCAGUCUGAUGGAAGAAGCUGAUGGAUGGAUGGGAAGUUGUCUCAUCCUCCACCCAACCUUUCCCUUCCUCCCCCGCCCCCCACUCCCCUCCUGGCUCCAGGGAGCUGUGAAGCUCUUCCUGAUGAGGACUCUUGGCACGGAGACCCUGGCACUCACUCCUGUGGCAUGGGCCCCAAGGGAUGGCCCUUCCUGGCUGGCCCCGCCGCACCUGGUCAGCAGUGAACCCGGACCCAGGACGCCCUUGCCUGCGGGAAGAAGUGCUGAGUCGCCCUGGGCUGAUUCAUUGCUGCAGUACCCAGAGGGCUUUGCCCUGAGGCUGACUUCCAGAUGCAGGUGAGGGACAGCGUAGACGCGGCUGCGGCCCUGGCUUCUGUUCACCACUCAGCGCGGAGGGUGGUGGUGGUGGUGGGAGCAGGUGGAGGCCAAAGGCAAGACCCUUUCUCCCAAUCAAGAGGGGAAGCCGGUACUCCAGAUGGGAAGGGAGACUGUGCCGCCGACUUCCAGCGGCAGGCUCCCUGGCCCCGGGAGAGGAAGCUCCCAGGAAGAGAGUGGGAGGCGCCAGGCCUCUGUGCAGCCAGAGCCGGCGACGCCGGGUGGAAGGGAAACCUCACUGCGGCGUGGCCCUCUCGGCCAGGGCGGAUCGCAGGGUGGCUUCAUCACCAC
This 1051-nucleotide long non-coding RNA is filed under the name Oryctolagus cuniculus (rabbit). RNAcentral describes it as "lncRNA (ENSOCUG00000035696.1)". The record is from RNAcentral. Lineage: Eukaryota; Metazoa; Chordata; Mammalia; Lagomorpha; Leporidae.